This 30-nucleotide non-coding RNA is filed under the name Mus musculus (house mouse). Lineage: Eukaryota; Metazoa; Chordata; Mammalia; Rodentia; Muridae. The record is from RNAcentral.
UAGGCUUCUACCUGCAGAGGACAGUUAGCC